AUACAUCGGAACGUGCCCGAUCGUGGGGGAUAACGGAGCGAAAGCUUUGCUAAUACCGCAUACGAUCUACGGAUGAAAGCAGGGGACCCUCGGGCCUUGCGCGAACGGAGCGGCCGAUGGCAGAUUAGGUAGUUGGUGGGAUAAAAGCUUACCAAGCCGACGAUCUGUAGCUGGUCUGAGAGGACGACCAGCCACACUGGGACUGAGACACGGCCCAGACUCCUACGGGAGGCAGCAGUGGGGAAUUUUGGACAAUGGGCGAAAGCCUGAUCCAGCAAUGCCGCGUGCAGGAUGAAGGCCUUCGGGUUGUAAACUGGUUUUGUACGGAACGAAAAGUCUCGGGCUAAUACCCUGGGACCAUGACGGUACCGUAAGAAUAAGCACCGGCUAACUACGUGCCAGCAGCCGCGGUAAUACGUAGGGUGCGAGCGUUAAUCGGAAUUACUGGGCGUAAAGCGUGCGCAGGCGGUUAUGUAAGACAGAUGUGAAAUCCCCGGGCUC
Molecule: ribosomal RNA, 501 nt
Filed under: Acidovorax sp. DsF.N008
Lineage: Bacteria; Pseudomonadati; Pseudomonadota; Betaproteobacteria; Burkholderiales; Comamonadaceae
Description: bacterial SSU rRNA
Rfam family: Bacterial small subunit ribosomal RNA
Source: RNAcentral